RNAcentral lists this ribosomal RNA (498 nucleotides) under Littoraria pintado. RNAcentral describes it as "partial 16S ribosomal RNA". It matches the Rfam family "Bacterial large subunit ribosomal RNA", at positions 1809 to 2572 of the family's 2925-position model. The record is from RNAcentral. Lineage: Eukaryota; Metazoa; Mollusca; Gastropoda; Littorinimorpha; Littorinidae.
AAAAACAUGGCUCUUUGAUAACUACUUAUAAAGAGUCUGACCUGCCCAGUGAUACAAACGUAUUCAACGGCCGCGGUACUCUGACCGUGCAAAGGUAGCAUAAUCAUUUGCCCUAUAAUUGAGGGCUAGUAUGAAAGGUUUGACAAGGGCAACCCUGUCUCUGCAAGAAUCCCUGGAACUUAUUUUUUAGAUGAAGAAAUCUAAAUAAAAUUAAUAGACAAGAAGACCCUAUCGAGCUUUAAAGUCAUUUAUGCUCUCAAGAGGCUGUCAACAGACUUCUUUUCAUAAAAAACUUUUGGUUGGGGCGACUGAGGAACAACUAAAGCUUCUUUUAACUCUAAUUUCCUGAAUAAAGACCCACAAACUUUAUUGUGAUUAAAAGAAAUAGUUACCGUAGGGAUAACAGCAUAAUCUCUUUUGAGAGCUCUCAUCGAAAAAGAGGUUUGUGACCUCGAUGUUGGACUAGAAUAUCCUGAAAGGUGCAGCCGCCUCAAGGGU